This 78-nucleotide transfer RNA is filed under the name Peptoniphilus lacrimalis 315-B. Its description in RNAcentral is "tRNA-Lys". It matches the Rfam family "tRNA". Rfam says of the family: Transfer RNA (tRNA) molecules are approximately 80 nucleotides in length. Their secondary structure includes four short double-helical elements and three loops (D, anti-codon, and T loops). Further hydrogen bonds mediate the characteristic L-shaped molecular structure. tRNAs have two regions of fundamental functional importance: the anti-codon, which is responsible for specific mRNA codon recognition, and the 3' end, to which the tRNAs corresponding amino acid is attached (by aminoacyl-tRNA synthetases). tRNAs cope with the degeneracy of the genetic code in two manners: having more than one tRNA (with a specific anti-codon) for a particular amino acid; and 'wobble' base-pairing, i.e. permitting non-standard base-pairing at the 3rd anti-codon position. The record is from RNAcentral. Lineage: Bacteria; Bacillati; Bacillota; Tissierellia; Tissierellales; Peptoniphilaceae.
UGCACCUUUAGCUCAGAUGGUAGAGCAACUGACUCUUAAUCAGUGGGCCCAGGGUUCGAGUCCCUGAAGGUGCACCAU